UGUGCAUUCCGAGCUUCACUUCUUGUAUGUGUAGUUUGUUAACUAAGCAGGUUAUUCUUGUAUUGAAACUUUGGGUGAGAGAACGCUAGGUUUCAGAGUAAUGGAUCCUCUGGACUAUACUCUUGAGUGGUUAAGUGUGAACUACGAAUUUAAAGAGGAAUGGGUCCUUUGAAUGCAGUUGAUUUGUUUUAGUUGGGGAUGGUCUUCAAAUUUGAGCUUGGGCUAAGACAGAAAAGGUACAUUACAUUGCUACCUUUUUGUUAUUCUUUCUUCUUUGGUUGACGUAAAUGUUUUCUUGUCGGCACAACAUUUUUAUCCAGAUGAAACAAAAAGCAUGUACAUAGCUGCCCUCAUUAUAUUGAUUACUAGCUUAGGUUGGACAAUCAAUUUCAAAUGGAGUCUGACAUAUAAAACGGGGGUCUAGGGGCUUUCUUGGUUUUUUUUUUUGUUUUUUGUUUUUUUUUGUUUGGGGUCUGAUAGGGGCUUUCUUGUUUAGGUUUCAUGAAUUUGUGGUUUUUUUCCCCUGGCGAUUCCCAUUUUUGUUUUUGUUUUUUGGAUAAAUCUGAUUGGAACUGGCUAUGGGAUCCCAUUUCAUUUCGUCUAUUUUCAUAACAUAUUUUUUGAUUGUUUUUUAAUGAACAAUAUAUUACACAAGAGUUUGAAAUGUCGCCGCCUGUGACUAAUAAAACAUAUAAUAAAAUUAAUAUUUCUCCUUGCAAAUGACGUCCAGUUUGAAAUCUACACCUGACCAACAAAACACACAAUAAAUUUAAUAUUAGGUAAAUUACUCAAAUGGUCAUCAAUCUUAUACCUAAUUUAUAUUUUGGUCCUUUAAUUAAAUUAUUUGUUCAAAUGAUCCAUCAACUCUAUAUUAUUCGC
Molecule: long non-coding RNA, 879 nt
Filed under: Prunus persica (peach)
Lineage: Eukaryota; Viridiplantae; Streptophyta; Magnoliopsida; Rosales; Rosaceae
Description: long non-coding RNA (PPER_LNC004554)
Source: RNAcentral